UCUCAGGAAAUAAAACUUAACGUUACUUACUGUCUUACUGUAUACCUCAGAAUUCCUGGCGUUGCUAUAGCAACAGUUGAAUAGGAAGGAGUGCAACAAGGCUUAGCUAGUUUAGCAUCGGCUAAUGUAGCCUGAAUGUAGUAAUGUUAUACUAUAUAAUAUACUAUAACGUACUAUAGGCUACGUUUUUUGUUUGUUUCUUAUUGUUAUGUAUUUUCUCUUGUGUACAUUGUUAUUGCUUAUAUUGAUUCUAUUUUUACAGUGUAACGUGCUUUUAAAUAACAAUAAAUAUAAAAGUUAAAUGUGUUAUUAAUUUCUCACUAAAUGAGCAGGACAGUAAUAGUAGCCUCACAUAAACCAAUAUACCAACUGUAGACAUAUACAACCUUGUUAAUCUACAUGGUUUACAUCAGCCAUUCCCACUGGUGGGCCGCGAAGGUACUGCAGGUGGGCCGCGAGAGGUCAUUUACAAUAAAUAAAUAAAAUGUUUUUAAUGUUGUCUGUAUUUUACUUAAAACGAUUGAUAAUUUAUAAGAUACAAAACGUACAUAUUUUUCUUAGUUUAAGUAUUAUUUGAACAAUUCUAGCGGCACAUUAGUUAUGUGAAACAUUAAUUGAUGAAGCACAAACAAUUUAAAUGAACAGAUUAAUAAAACAAUAAGGCUCUCGCUCGAAACGGCUGCUCUUGUCCGCCUGUCGUUAUUCAACAAAAGGCGCCGCCAAACAAAACAAUGUCCAAUGGGGCGCCCUCUUGUAGUAUUAAAGUAAAUAUAUAUGAGCUCCGGAGAAAAUGGUAUACAAAACAUACAUUGUCGGUGAAUACAUUUUUAAUCGGUUAAAUUCUGAAGGUCAUUUAAUCAUCCCUAGUUUAUGUUUUGAUCAGAGUUGUGAUCAGCGCCGCCGCUCCCAUAACGCGCACUACGCGCUGCGCGUAGGGCACCGAGUCCUGAGGGCAGGCCCGGGGUGGGUAAUCGGGAGAAUCGGGAGAGUUCCCGGUGGGCCGCUUCACUUCUGGGCCGGUCGAGAAUUUUAUUUGUUGACAUUUGUCACGUUAGUCCAUCUUCUUUUAAAGUGGGCUACACACGUUCCGCAUUCUGACAGCGCAGCCUCUGCAUGGGUUGUACCAUGCGAGGAAGUUCACCCCUCCCAAAUAUUAGAGUUGGUUCAGUCCAUUAUGGAACCAACCAACUCAUUUUGGGAGAGGUGAACUUCCACGCAUGGUAGGCUACAGCCGGUGUACCAUGCGAGGAAGUUCACCCCUCCAAAAUAGAGUUGGUUCGGUCCUUAGCGGUCUUUUCCAAAAAGUUUUCUCAGCUACCUAUAGCUGGGCCGGCCCGACCGCAACGAUACGCGUCAGGGAGGAUGGACGGGAGGAAGAGGGCAGGAGGGGCUGAAAAAGCCAGGUUGAAAAAAAGAAAGGCAUUGGAGGAGGAUGCUGCCAAAUGUGCCAAGCUUCCCGAUUUAUUUUCAAGAAGACAAACACAAGUGGCAACAGCUUCGGAGCAGCAGAUAAGAGUCUCCUGCUGAAAAUGAUGAGCCCGACAUUUGCAAUGAGGAGGCCGUGACUACAGGGACAUGUAGAGAGGAUAACAGAGGAAACUAUAUGAAUUAAAGUUAUAUAUUCUAAGAAAGAGCAGUACAGUACUUGAUGAACCAAUAUGCAUUGUUUGCUCAGAAGUGGGUGUAGUAAAGGAGUAAAUCACCACUAUAUAAUACUCAUGCAGAAAAAUGAUAAUGACCAUGACAAUGACGGCCCCCAUGAGGUCUCACUCCAACAAAUCUGGCCUACUGCCUAAUCUGAGUCUGACACCCCUGCUACGCCCUUCUGCCUUUUUUUAUGUUGUGCAUAUUUGUUGUUAACUUCUCAUCUUAAGUGGAUUAUUAUUGUUGUAUUUAACCGUUACAUUAUUUGUUGGACCAUGGUAUGAAUAAAAGAACUACAGGAUA
Pseudoliparis swirei is the source of this 1947-nucleotide long non-coding RNA. RefSeq lists it as uncharacterized. The record is from RefSeq and is a predicted model, not a curated record. NCBI's taxonomy places the organism in Eukaryota, Metazoa, Chordata, Actinopteri, Perciformes, Liparidae. The transcript has 2 exons.